AACUUAGGAUAACAUAAACCAAGAACCUUCAAAGUUCAGAACAAGGGUGUAAACCC
RNAcentral lists this transfer RNA (56 nucleotides) under Anolis cristatellus. RNAcentral's name for it is "partial tRNA-Trp". Lineage: Eukaryota; Metazoa; Chordata; Lepidosauria; Squamata; Anolidae. The record is from RNAcentral.